UACGUAGGGUGCGAGCGUUAAUCGGAAUUACUGGGCGUAAAGCGUGCGCAGGCGGUUUUGUAAGCCAGAUGUGAAAUCCCCGGGCUUAACCUGGGAAUGGCAUUUGGGACUGCAAGGCUUGAGUGCGGCAGAGGAGACUGGAAUUCCUGGUGUAGCAGCGAAAUGCGUAGAUAUCAGGAGGAACACCGAUGGCGAAGGCAGGUCUCUGGGCUGACACUGACGCUCAUGCACGAAAGCGUGGGGAGCAAACAGG
Molecule: ribosomal RNA, 253 nt
Filed under: uncultured bacterium
Lineage: Bacteria
Description: partial 16S ribosomal RNA
Rfam family: Bacterial small subunit ribosomal RNA
Source: RNAcentral